Molecule: ribosomal RNA, 323 nt
Filed under: Sandonidae sp.
Lineage: Eukaryota; Cercozoa; Glissomonadida; Sandonidae
Description: SSU rRNA
Rfam family: Eukaryotic small subunit ribosomal RNA (bases 56-323)
Source: RNAcentral
GAUUUCUGGCCUGAAACAUUUUGCCAGCCACGGUUUCGUGUGUUAGUGCUUGAUGUUCUGGCCAUCCUUCCAAUGGCUGCGCAUCUCUCUUCAUUGAGUGGGUGCGUGGUAUUGGAUCUUUUACUUUGAAAAAAUUAGAGUGUUUCAAGCAGGCUUUAUGCUAUGAAUACAUUAGCAUGGAAUAAUAAUUUAGGACUUCGGUUCUAUUUUGUUGGUUUCUAGGACUGAAGUAAUGAUUGAUAGGGAUAGUUGGGGGUGCUAGUAUUCAGCGGCCAGAGGUGAAAUUCUCGGAUUCGCUGAAGACUAACUUAUGCGAAAGCAUU